Molecule: long non-coding RNA, 245 nt
Filed under: Gallus gallus (chicken)
Lineage: Eukaryota; Metazoa; Chordata; Aves; Galliformes; Phasianidae
Source: RNAcentral
GGGGGUUCAGCUCCUCCCGGACCACUCUGCUGCGGAACAGCCGCCCCCCCGCCCUCACUGCAGCGUAGGGGUCGGAGCGGCCCUUCAUCAGCCCCCCCAGGAAGUUGUCCUUGGCUAUCAGAUCCUCCGCUUCCAGGAGGUGGAUGCGCAGCACAGCCUCAGUCCCAAACUGGGGGUCUGGGCUGGCUUUGCUGGGUCUACGUGCACUGCUGGCUCCAGGGGGGGUCUCCAACUGCCCGGGGGGG